AGCAUGUGGUUUAAUUCGAUGCAACGCGAAGAACCUUACCUGGGCUUGACAUCCACGGAACCUGCUGGAAACAGUGGGGUGCCCUUCGGGGAGCCGUGAGACAGGUGCUGCAUGGCUGUCGUCAGCUCGUGUCGUGAGAUGUUGGGUUAAGUCCCGCAACGAGCGCAACCCUUGUCUUUAAUUGCCAUCAUUAAGUUGGGCACUUUAAAGAGACUGCCGGUGUCAAACCGGAGGAAGGUGGGAUGACGUCAAGUCCUCAUGGCCUUUAUGUCUAGGGCUACACACGUACUACAAUGGCCGGUACAAAGGGCAGCCACUCAGCGAUGAGGCGCUAAUCUCAUAAAGCCGGUCUCAGUCCGGAUCGCAGUCUGCAACUCGACUGCGUGAAGUUGGAAUCGCUAGUAAUCGUAGAUCAGCAUGCUACGGUGAAUACGUUCCCGGGCCUU
This 446-nucleotide ribosomal RNA is filed under the name uncultured Geobacter sp. Its description in RNAcentral is "bacterial SSU rRNA". It matches the Rfam family "Bacterial small subunit ribosomal RNA", at positions 936 to 1382 of the family's 1533-position model. The record is from RNAcentral. Lineage: Bacteria; Pseudomonadati; Thermodesulfobacteriota; Desulfuromonadia; Geobacterales; Geobacteraceae.